ACUCAAAGGAAUUGACGGGGGCCCGCACAAGCAGCGGAGCGUGUGGUUUAAUUCGAGGCUACACGAAGAACCUUACCCGGGUUUGACAUGCAACUGGUAAGAGCCGGAAACGGGGAUGACCCUUCGGGGAGGUUGCACAGGUGCUGCAUGGUUGUCGUCAGCUCGUGCCGUGAGGUGUUCGGUUAAGUCCGCAAACGAGCGCAACCCUCGGCAGUAGUUACAGGUGUCUACUGCGACUGCCCGUGAGAAACGGGAGGAAGGCGAGGAUGACGUCAAAUCAGCAUGGCCUGUAUGUCCGGGGCUACACACACGCUACAAUGGCGCGUACAACGGGGAGCGAAGUCGUGAGGCGGAGCGGAUCCACAAAGCGCGUCGUAGUUCGGAUUGCAGGCUGCAACUCGCCUGCAUGAAGGUGGAGUUGCUAGUAACCGCGCGUCAGCGAUAGUGCGGUGAAUACGUUCCCGGGCCUUGUACACACCGCCCGU
Molecule: ribosomal RNA, 485 nt
Filed under: uncultured bacterium
Lineage: Bacteria
Description: partial 16S ribosomal RNA
Rfam family: Bacterial small subunit ribosomal RNA
Source: RNAcentral